Molecule: ribosomal RNA, 766 nt
Filed under: Staphylococcus aureus
Lineage: Bacteria; Bacillati; Bacillota; Bacilli; Caryophanales; Staphylococcaceae
Description: bacterial SSU rRNA
Rfam family: Bacterial small subunit ribosomal RNA
Source: RNAcentral
GAUGAACGCUGGCGGCGUGCCUAAUACAUGCAAGUCGAGCGAACGGACGAGAAGCUUGCUUCUCUGAUGUUAGCGGCGGACGGGUGAGUAACACGUGGAUAACCUACCUAUAAGACUGGGAUAACUUCGGGAAACCGGAGCUAAUACCGGAUAAUAUUUUGAACCGCAUGGUUCAAAAGUAAAAGACGGUCUUGCUGUCACUUAUAGAUGGAUCCGCGCUGCAUUAGCUAGUUGGUAAGGUAACGGCUUACCAAGGCAACGAUGCAUAGCCGACCUGAGAGGGUGAUCGGCCACACUGGAACUGAGACACGGUCCAGACUCCUACGGGAGGCAGCAGUAGGGAAUCUUCCGCAAUGGGCGAAGGCCUGACGGAGCAACGCCGCGUGAGUGAUGAAGGUCUUCGGAUCGUAAAGCUCUGUUAUUAGGGAAGAACAUAUGUGUAAGUAACUGUGCACAUCUUGACGGUACCUAAUCAGAAAGCCACGGCUAACUACGUGCCAGCAGCCGCGGUAAUACGUAGGUGGCAAGCGUUAUCCGGAAUUAUUGGGCGUAAAGCGCGCGUAGGCGGUUUUUUAAGUCUGAUGUGAAAGCCCACGGCUCAACCGUGGAGGGUCAUUGGAAACUGGAAAACUUGAGUGCAGAAGAGGAAAGUGGAAUUCCAUGUGUAGCGGUGAAAUGCGCAGAGAUAUGGAGGAACACCAGUGGCGAAGGCGACUUUCUGGUCUGUAACUGACGCUGAUGUGCGAAAGCGUGGGGAUCAAACAGG